AAGGUCUUCACCAAUUUGCAAUUAAUUGCUGGACAGAUCAAGGAUGAAUUUGAAGCCCGGACCCAAUCAUGAUGAAGUAUCUUCAGAAGAUGAAGGAUCUUAUAUCAACCUUGAAAUACUUUGGGAUCUUUUACAUUUUAAGAACUGAAAAUGCUCAAGCUGACAUACUCUCCCGACUUGCAACUACUUUCAACUCGCU
Molecule: long non-coding RNA, 199 nt
Filed under: Elaeis guineensis (African oil palm)
Lineage: Eukaryota; Viridiplantae; Streptophyta; Magnoliopsida; Arecales; Arecaceae
Description: long non-coding RNA (EGUI_LNC012500)
Source: RNAcentral